This 272-nucleotide ribosomal RNA is filed under the name uncultured bacterium. RNAcentral describes it as "partial 16S ribosomal RNA". It matches the Rfam family "Bacterial small subunit ribosomal RNA", at positions 793 to 1055 of the family's 1533-position model. The record is from RNAcentral.
GUCCUAGCCGUAAACGAUGGGCACUAAGUAGAGGGGUUUUGAUUAUCUCUCUGCCGGAGCUAACGCAUUAAGUGCCCCGCCUGGGGAGUACGGCCGCAAGGCUAAAAACUCAAAAAGAAUUGACGGGGGCUCGCACAAGCGGUGGAGCAUGUGGCUUAAUUCGAUGCAACGCGAAGAACCUUACCGGGGUUUGACAUGGUAGAAGUAGGAGCCUGAAAGGGUAACGAACGGUAUCCAGUCCGUGACUAUCACAGGUGUUGCAUGGCUGUCGU